RNAcentral lists this ribosomal RNA (444 nucleotides) under Clostridioides difficile. RNAcentral describes it as "bacterial LSU rRNA". It matches the Rfam family "Bacterial large subunit ribosomal RNA", at positions 2145 to 2584 of the family's 2925-position model. The record is from RNAcentral. Lineage: Bacteria; Bacillati; Bacillota; Clostridia; Peptostreptococcales; Peptostreptococcaceae.
AGGAGGGAGGCGGCUUGUACACAAUGACGCCAGUAUUGGCGCAGGCCUCUAUAGGAUACCACCCUUGUAGUACUGGGACUCUAACCAUAGGCCAUGAAUCUGGUCUUGGGACACUGUCAGGUGGGCAGUUUGACUGGGGCGGUCGCCUCCCAAAAGGUAACGGGGGCGCUCAAAGGUUCUCUCAGUACGGUCGGAAAUCGUACGUAGAGUGUAAAGGCAAAAGAGAGCUUGAUUGCAAGACAUACAGGUCGAGCAAGGAUGAAAAUCGGACUUAGUGAUCCGGUGGUUCUGCGUGGAAGGGCCAUCGCUCAACGGAUAAAAGCUACCCUGGGGAUAACAGGCUUAUCUCCCCCAAGAGUCCACAUCGACGGGGAGGUUUGGCACCUCGAUGUCGGCUCAUCACAUCCUGGGGCUGUAGUAGGUCCCAAGGGUUGGGCUGUUCGC